Molecule: ribosomal RNA, 484 nt
Filed under: uncultured bacterium
Lineage: Bacteria
Description: bacterial SSU rRNA
Rfam family: Bacterial small subunit ribosomal RNA
Source: RNAcentral
GACGAACGCUGGCGGCAUGCCUAACACAUGCAAGUCGAACGGAACUUUUUCGAAUGAUUUCUUCGGAAUGAUUUUGGCUAAGUUUAGUGGCGGACGGGUGAGUAACGCGUGAGUAACCUGCCUUCGAGAGGGGAAUAACAAUCUGAAAAGAUUGCUAAUACCGCAUAACAUAGUGAGGUCGCAUGGCUUUGCUAUCAAAGAUUUUAUCGCUCGAAGAUGGACUCGCGUCCGAUUAGUUAGUUGGUGAGGUAACGGCUCACCAAGACCGCGAUCGGUAGCCGGACUGAGAGGUUGAACGGCCACAUUGGGACUGAGACACGGCCCAGACUCCUACGGGAGGCAGCAGUGGGGGAGUAUUGCGCAAUGGGGGCAACCCUGACGCAGCAAUGCCGCGUGAAGGAUGAAGGUUUUCGGAUUGUAAACUUCUUUUAUUAAGGACGAACAAUGACGGUACCUGGAGAAAAAGACAACGGCUAACUACGUG